UCGAUUCCCUUAGUAGCGGCGAGCGAAACGGGAAGAGCCCAAACCAACAAGCUUGCUUGUUGGGGUUGUAGGACACUCUAUACGGAGUUACAAAGGACGACAUUAGACGAAUCAUCUGGAAAGAUGAAUCAAAGAAGGUAAUAAUCCUGUAGUCGAAAAUGUUGUCUCUCUUGAGUGGAUCCUGAGUACGACGGAGCACGUGAAAUUCCGUCGGAAUCUGGGAGGACCAUCUCCUAAGGCUAAAUACUCUCUAGUGACCGAUAGUGAACCAGUACCGUGAGGGAAAGGUGAAAAGCACCCCGGAAGGGGAGUGAAAUAGAACCUGAAACCGUGUGCUUACAAGUAGUCAGAGCCCGUUAAUGGGUGAUGGCGUGCCUUUUGUAGAAUGAACCGGCGAGUUACGAUUUGAUGCAAGGUUAAGCAGUAAAUGUGGAGCCGUAGCGAAAGCGAGUCUGAAUAGGGCGUUUAGUAUUUGGUCGUAGACCCGAAACCAGGUGAUCUACCCUUGGUCAGGUUGAAGUUCAGGUAACACUGAAUGGAGGACCGAACCGACUUACGUUGAAAAGUGAGCGGAUGAACUGAGGGUAGCGGAGAAAUUCCAAUCGAACCUGGAGAUAGCUGGUUCUCUCCGAAAUAGCUUUAGGGCUAGCCUCAAGUGAUGAUUAUUGGAGGUAGAGCACUGUUUGGACGAGGGGCCCCUCUCGGGUUACCGAAUUCAGACAAACUCCGAAUGCCAAUUAAUUUAACUUGGGAGUCAGAACAUGGGUGAUAAGGUCCGUGUUCGAAAGGGAAACAGCCCAGACCACCAGCUAAGGUCCCAAAAUAUAUGUUAAGUGGAAAAGGAUGUGGCGUUGCCCAGACAACUAGGAUGUUGGCUUAGAAGCAGCCAUCAUUUAAAGAGUGCGUAAUAGCUCACUAGUCGAGUGACACUGCGCCGAAAAUGUACCGGGGCUAAACAUAUUACCGAAGCUGUGGAUUGUCCUUUGGACAAUGGUAGGAGAGCGUUCUAAGGGCGUUGAAGCAUGAUCGUAAGGACAUGUGGAGCGCUUAGAAGUGAGAAUGCCGGUGUGAGUAGCGAAAGACGGGUGAGAAUCCCGUCCACCGAUUGACUAAGGUUUCCAGAGGAAGGCUCGUCCGCUCUGGGUUAGUCGGGUCCUAAGCUGAGGCCGACAGGCGUAGGCGAUGGAUAACAGGUUGAUAUUCCUGUACCACCUAUAAUCGUUUUAAUCGAUGGGGGGACGCAGUAGGAUAGGCGAAGCGUGCGAUUGGAUUGCACGUCUAAGCAGUAAGGCUGAGUAUUAGGCAAAUCCGGUACUCGUUAAGGCU
Molecule: ribosomal RNA, 1326 nt
Filed under: Staphylococcus aureus
Lineage: Bacteria; Bacillati; Bacillota; Bacilli; Caryophanales; Staphylococcaceae
Description: partial 23S ribosomal RNA
Rfam family: Bacterial large subunit ribosomal RNA
Source: RNAcentral